Molecule: long non-coding RNA, 452 nt
Organism: Patella vulgata (common limpet)
Lineage: Eukaryota; Metazoa; Mollusca; Gastropoda; Patellidae
Exons: 3
Source: RefSeq, a predicted model, not a curated record
UUCACAAUAGUAGUACUGUAAUAUCGAUAUUCGGCCUGCUGUUAUCAGUACAGUCUCAUGACGAACUAGUUGUAUGGGGUUGACAACAGUUACUAUUAAAGUAAAGUACUGUUUUGAUUAACAAACGCUUGACCAGAAAAGGGCUGAAACAUCAUGAAGAUUUUGGUGUUAACUAUCGUUUUACUUUUAACAACGGGUUGUUGGAGUUCACCAAUACGAGAUUGUCGUACUAUACAUUGUGGUGUUUUAACCAGGGCACCUGUGUGUGGCAGUGACGGUGUAACAUAUACUAAUUACUGUACUUUUGAUUUAAUGAUUUGCUCAGGCCAGAUACGCGGCGUGUGGACGGUGCAUAAUGGAACGUGUAGUCAGUGAAAUGAUUCCUACGGAUUCAUAACAAGAGUAACAACAGCUCUCCACCAUAAUCUAACACAAAUAAAAAUUCAAACAUC